AUUGAACGCUGGCGGCAUGCUUUACACAUGCAAGUCGGACGAGUGGCGAACGGGUGAGUAACGCAUCGGAACGUACCGAGUGAUUGGGGAUAACUGUCCGAAAGGACAGCUAAUUCCGCCCAUUAUUCCAUCGGCCGAUGUCUGAGUAGCUGGUUGGCGGGGUAAAGGACCACAAGGGCGACGAACAGUAGCGGGUCUGAGAGGAUGAGCAGCCACACUGGGACUGAGACACGGCCCAGACUCCUACGGGAGGAAGGAGGGGGGAAUUUUGGACAAUGGGCGCAAGCAUGAUCCAGCCAUGCCGCGUGUCUGAAGAAGGCCUUCGGGUUGUAAAGGACUUUUGUCAGGGAAGCGGUACCUGAAGAAUAAGCACCGGCUAACUACGUGCCAGCAGCCGCGGUAAUUC
This 406-nucleotide ribosomal RNA is filed under the name uncultured bacterium. Its description in RNAcentral is "partial 16S ribosomal RNA". It matches the Rfam family "Bacterial small subunit ribosomal RNA", at positions 30 to 526 of the family's 1533-position model. The record is from RNAcentral.